This is a non-coding RNA of Myodes glareolus (Bank vole), 1966 nucleotides long. Lineage: Eukaryota; Metazoa; Chordata; Mammalia; Rodentia; Cricetidae. The record is from RefSeq and is a predicted model, not a curated record.
ACUAAGGAAAAGAAAAUCAACCUGAAGAGAGGCCCUACCUGCCAUGCCUCAUCCUGUCUGAGCAUCUGAAACAGCACACCUUCACUUCCCAUAUGAAAGAGCAUGCUUUCAAACGAGCAGCCUCAAUCUGUAUCAGAUACCUUUUGUUGCCCUAAUGAAUCUUGUCUGAGAGUCUCCCAUGGAUACAAAGCCUAUGCAAAACUUGGUUUAGAGGAAACCGGGAAAACCGUGGUACCUCAUGAAUCAGACCCCCAUGAACCCACACACCCGCACCACGUUACACGCGACGUUGGUGCCCAACGCCUGGCUUGAAGAACAGAGAAGUCAGCCACAUAGAGAACUGGAAAGAACACUCUCAGAUGUCUUAUGCAUGAAAGUCUUUGCAGAUAGAAGCUGGUGGUAGAGUUGCUCAAUUAUUGUUGGCCCCAUAUCCUAAAGUUUGAUUGGGUCAGAUUUGGAUUAUUGCAUCAGCAGAGAGGCUUAUGGAGUUCAGAAACUUUUCAGCUUUGGCAAGACUCUCCUGUGAUGACCCUGGUACAGAAGCUCACUGAGAGGAUAUUGAACACACCGAAAGAACUGGUGGGUGCAGUUAUUCUGGGAAUCAAAGCAUUGACAACUACAGCAGCAACAGCUGAAAUGGAACUUCAUCAAAAAAUACAAACUGCCGAAUUCAUCGGAGACUGGCAUAAGCACUCAACAGAACUAUGGACUAAACAAAAUAAGAUUGAUAAUGCGAUAAUGAAUAAACUAGCUGAGUUAAGGCAAGCUGUUAUAUUGCUAGGGGAUCAGUUAAAAUUUUUGAAGGAGCAGAUAAAAUAAAAAUGAUUGGAAUGUUUAUGCUUUUGUACCAGACCCUUAAGAUUUAAUGAAAGCAAGUGUGAUUGGGGUAGUUAUAGUUACAUCCUCUAGUAUCUUAACUAAGAGCAUAUCAGGUGCUAGAUUCAGAUUCAUCAAUAUACAACAGCUAUAUUGGACUAAUCUGUAAUUUGCCAUUUACUUAUGAGCUGGACAUUUAAUUUAGUAUGUGCUUCUUACUUGACGUUGUUCUUGCUGGUUGUAGUUCCAUUUUUGUUUAUGUUAUUACCCUUUUUAUCUCCUGGACAAUACUUGAUAAUCAUUUUUAUUGCAUAUAGUUUUUAGAUUUAGAACCUUCUUAUUUAGACACAAAAAGGGUAAGUGCAAUGGGAAUUCGUUCUACCCAUGACCUUGGACUAUGUGGCCUGAUAGAGGUUGUGCUUCUUGUCUCCCUACGUGACCUUUUAAAAGGAAAGAAGGAAGGGCUUGCUUGCUGUUGCUUGGGUAGUGAAGACCUGGUCAGGUGGCUGAGGCAGCAUGUGAUCGAUCCCCAGCUUUCCAAGGAGUCUGUGACUGGACUUACCAUAUCCUGUAUUCAUGACUGUAUUUUCCCCUUUUCAUGCCUUAACAAAUCUUCGAUACCACUUAAACAGAUGCGUGCGAAUUUAAGGUAACACUCACUUACACUCUACGGAAACCCAAUAGACUCACUAGAUCCCCAGUGUGAACUUUGGCAGACUAGUUCCUCUGCUUGUUGGGAACGUAGCAGAAGAGGUGGGCAGUAAUUACUCCCCCCCCCCCCCGGGAAAGAGAUUUACUAACACAUGAAUACUAUUUAUUUUGAUAACAAGACCUUGUCUUUAAAAAAAAAAAAAGUGCCUGUGUGGUGUUUUGAUGUAGGCUAGACAAUCAAACACCUCUAUGGGGCGUCUUCCCUGGGGCUCAUACAGUGGGUGUAUCUUGCUACCAGAUUCUGGUGCCCUGGAACAAGGAUCAUUCCUCAAAGUGAGCAAGAAAUGGUGUAAUAUUUAAUAAGAUCUAGACUCAGUGGCACUUAAGGCUGUGAAAGCUGUCAGAACCAAAAUAGAAUUCCAUGUGUCAACCCUAGCAAAUAAUUAGAAAAUAAAGCCAGAAGGAGAUGAAUGAAGGGUUCUUAUGCAUGAUAACACUA